CCUGGCUCAGAACGAACGCUGGCGGCGUGCCUAACACAUGCAAGUCGAGCGAGAAGCCCGCAAGGGUGAGUAAAGCGGCGCACGGGGUGCGUAACACGUGGGUAAUCUGACCCUGGAGCCCGGAACAACUCGCCGAAAGGCGAGCUAAUGCCGGAUGAGACCACGGGGGCUUCGGCCUCUGGGGGAAAAGGUGGCCUCUGUACACAAGCUAUCACUUCAGGAUGAGCCCGCGGCCCAUCAGCUAGUUGGCGGGGUAAUGGCCCACCAAGGCGACGACGGGUAGCUGGUCUGAGAGGACGAUCAGCCACACUGGAACUGAGACACGGUCCAGACUCCUACGGGAGGCAGCAGUGGGGAAUCUUGCGCAAUGGGCGAAAGCCUGACGCAGCAACGCCGCGUGUGUGAUGAAGGUCUUCGGAUCGUAAAGCACUGUCGCGAGGGACGAAUAAGCCUUUGGCUAACAUCCAGGGGUGAUGACGGUACCUCGAGAGGAAGCACCGGCUAACUCUGUGCCAGCAGCCGCGGUAA
This 528-nucleotide ribosomal RNA is filed under the name uncultured delta proteobacterium. RNAcentral describes it as "bacterial SSU rRNA". It matches the Rfam family "Bacterial small subunit ribosomal RNA", at positions 18 to 523 of the family's 1533-position model. The record is from RNAcentral. Lineage: Bacteria; Deltaproteobacteria.